This 465-nucleotide ribosomal RNA is filed under the name Vreelandella stevensii. Its description in RNAcentral is "partial 16S ribosomal RNA". It matches the Rfam family "Bacterial small subunit ribosomal RNA", at positions 338 to 795 of the family's 1533-position model. Lineage: Bacteria; Pseudomonadati; Pseudomonadota; Gammaproteobacteria; Oceanospirillales; Halomonadaceae. The record is from RNAcentral.
CCUACGGGGGGCUGCAGUGGGGAAUAUUGGACAAUGGGGGGAACCCUGAUCCAGCCAUGCCGCGUGUGUGAAGAAGGCCCUCGGGUUGUAAAGCACUUUCAGUGAGGAAGAACGCCUGGUGGUUAAUACCCAUCAGGAAAGACAUCACUCACAGAAGAAGCACCGGCUAACUCCGUGCCAGCAGCCGCGGUAAUAUGGAGGGUGCGAGCGUUAAUCGGAAUUACUGGGCGUAAAGCGCGCGUAGGUGGCUUGAUAAGCCGGUUGUGAAAGCCCCGGGCUCAACCUGGGAACGGCAUCCGGAACUGUCAAGCUAGAGUGCAGGAGAGGAAGGUAGAAUUCCCGGUGUAGCGGUGAAAUGCGUAGAGAUCGGGAGGAAUACCAGUGGCGAAGGCGGCCUUCUGGACUGACACUGACACUGAGGUGCGAAAGCGUGGGUAGCAAACAGGAUUAGAUACCCGUGUAGUC